Long non-coding RNA from Neopelma chrysocephalum (saffron-crested tyrant-manakin), 939 nucleotides. RefSeq lists it as uncharacterized. Lineage: Eukaryota; Metazoa; Chordata; Aves; Passeriformes; Pipridae. The transcript is spliced from 4 exons. The record is from RefSeq and is a predicted model, not a curated record.
UCCUAGGAACUGCAAGGCAAAAAAAGCAUCCUUUUACAAGAGCUUUUACUUAGACAUUUCACUGUUGCCCUUUGGGCUUCAAUCUGUGGGGAAAAAAAAAGUUGCUAUUUCUCUUCUUACCAUGUAAAAUGCCAGUGCAAAAAUGUUGCUAGAUAGCAAAAUUCAGGAAAGAAAAUCUGAGUUAUUCCCAUCAGCACAUAAGAUUUACAUUAUUUUGGGGAGUAUUUAUUAGAAAACAUAGCAGAGCUCUUAUCAUAGUCCUUGGUGCGAUGAAAACUUCUGUGGAAGCCCUGAGUAGCAGCAAAAGAAAAGAAACAAAGCCAUAUACAAGUUAUCGUGGGUGAUGUGUUUUGAAUGUUGAUGCUAAAAAACUCACAGUAAAUUAUAACUAAGCAAUUUGUGUUCCCGUGCUGGGAAACGAGGCAGAGCAGCCCUAGCAGCUGGAACUGCUUUACAGCCUCAGAACCUGUUCCAAGAGUCAUCAGCAAUGGAGAGCUUUGUGAGGACAGAUAUAUGUCUGUACAUAUGGGAACCUGUGACAUUUUAAGUUCAGUACUUAACUACCAGCUUGGUAUCCCACUGUGUUAUCUGCGCUGCCACUUCCGAAAAAUUGCUCAUCAGAUUCCUAGAGACAUCCUGCUCGAGACACCACAGACCUCAUUCAUUUCUCCCAAACCCAUCCCCUGGGCAGAGCUGCAAGUUUCUCAAGACUGAAGGAGCUUGGCUCCUAAAGCCAAAGCUUUCCACUCCAGGGUUACUCAUCUGGGUCCUGAUAUUGCUUGUUCUAGCCUUAAGUAGAGAGAGAUCUCUACUUCAUCCUUUCUCUUCGAAGUCUCAAAAACAUUAUGGAAUAUAACAUUUUAAAGCAUAAGUUUUGUUCCAAAUAUCCCCCUAUUUAUACACAGGUUCUCUCCUCUAUGCAUUAAACUUCCACAGCAA